Molecule: ribosomal RNA, 800 nt
Filed under: uncultured earthworm intestine bacterium
Lineage: Bacteria
Description: bacterial SSU rRNA
Rfam family: Bacterial small subunit ribosomal RNA
Source: RNAcentral
GCAGAACAGCUGGCGGCGUGCUUAACACAUGNCAAGUCGAACGGAAAGGCCCUGCUUUUGUGGGGUGCUCGAGUGGCGAACGGGUGAGUAACACGUGAGUAACCUGCCCUUGACUUUGGGAUAACUUCAGGAAACUGGGGCUAAUACCGGAUAGGAGCUCCUGCUGCAUGGUGGGGGUUGGAAAGUUUCGGCGGUUGGGGAUGGACUCGCGGCUUAUCAGCUUGUUGGUGGGGUAGUGGCUUACCAAGGCUUUGACGGGUAGCCGGCCUGAGAGGGUGACCGGCCACAUUGGGACUGAGAUACGGCCCAGACUCCUACGGGAGGCAGCAGUGGGGAAUAUUGCACAAUGGGCGGAAGCCUGAUGCAGCAACGCCGCGUGCGGGAUGACGGCCUUCGGGUUGUAAACCGCUUUCGCCUGUGACGAAGCGUGAGUGACGGUAAUGGGUAAAGAAGCACCGGCUAACUACGUGCCAGCAGCCGCGGUGAUACGUAGGGUGCGAGCGUUGUCCGGAUUUAUUGGGCGUAAAGGGCUCGUAGGUGGUUGAUCGCGUCGGAAGUGUAAUCUUGGGGCUUAACCCUGAGCGUGCUUUCGAUACGGGUUGACUUGAGGAAGGUAGGGGAGAAUGGAAUUCCUGGUGGAGCGGUGGAAUGCGCAGAUAUCAGGAGGAACACCAGUGGCGAAGGCGGUUCUCUGGGCCUUUCCUGACGCUGAGGAGCGAAAGCGUGGGGAGCGAACAGGCUUAAAUACCCUGGUAGUCCACGCUGUAAACGGUGGGUACUAGGUGUGGGGUCCAUUCCAC